RNAcentral lists this unclassified non-coding RNA (317 nucleotides) under Hevea brasiliensis (rubber tree). The record is from RNAcentral. Lineage: Eukaryota; Viridiplantae; Streptophyta; Magnoliopsida; Malpighiales; Euphorbiaceae.
AUCAAAAUAAAAAUAAAAACACGCGCUCUGCUCCGAACCUCAGGUCCUCAACUGAAUAACCUAACGCCUGGCAUAUUUAUAGAUCUACAAUUAAAGCGUGUAUGUGAAAUCCUUCCUAUACGCUGUCUGCAUGUGAAUAAUCCAAUCAAGUUAGGGCACAAGUUUGAGGCGGUGGACGGCGACUGCUCCACCUGAAUGACUGAAUCCUCCGUGGUCGGCUUCGACGGCAAAAUUCUGGUGCUUGAUGUACACAUAAAGACAAUUCAUGUGUACUGAUUCUUCAAAGCGAGUCAAGAGUCCCUUCAGUGCCAUAGCAG